UAAGGAAUAUUGGUCAAUGGACGCAAGUCUGAACCAGCCAUGCCGCGUGAAGGAUGAAGGUCCUCUGGAUUGUAAACUUCUUUUAUCUGGGACGAAAACGGGAUUUUUAUCUCAAUUGACGGUACCAGAGGAAUAAGCACCGGCUAACUCCGUGCCAGCAGCCGCGGUAAUACGGAGGGUGCAAGCGUUAUCCGGAUUCACUGGGUUUAAAGGGUGCGUAGGUGGGCAGGUAAGUCAGUGGUGAAAUCUCCGGGCUUAACCCGGAAACUGCCGUUGAUACUAGUUGUCUUGAAUAUUGUGGAGGUGAGCGGAAUAUGACAUGUAGCGGUGAAAUGCUUAGAUAUGACAUAGAACACCAAUUGCGAAGGCAGCUUACUACACAAUCAUUGACGCUGAGGCACGAAAGCGUGGGGAUCAAACA
This 421-nucleotide ribosomal RNA is filed under the name uncultured bacterium. RNAcentral's name for it is "bacterial SSU rRNA". It matches the Rfam family "Bacterial small subunit ribosomal RNA", at positions 355 to 774 of the family's 1533-position model. The record is from RNAcentral.